This 299-nucleotide signal recognition particle RNA is filed under the name Capra hircus (goat). RNAcentral's name for it is "Metazoan signal recognition particle RNA (ENSCHIG00000006269.1)". It matches the Rfam family "Metazoan signal recognition particle RNA". Rfam says of the family: The signal recognition particle (SRP) is a universally conserved ribonucleoprotein. It is involved in the co-translational targeting of proteins to membranes. The record is from RNAcentral. Lineage: Eukaryota; Metazoa; Chordata; Mammalia; Artiodactyla; Bovidae.
GCCGGGCGCGGUGGCGCGCGCCUGUAAUCCCAGCUACUCGGGAGGCUGAGGCUGGAGAAUCACUUGAGCUCAUGAGUUCUGGGCUGCAGUGCGCUAUGCCGAUCGGGUGUCCGCACUAAGUUCGGUAUCAAUAUGGUGACCUCCUGGGAGCAGGGGACCACCAGGUUGCCUAAGGAGGGGUGAACCAGCCCAGGUCAGAAACGGAGCAGGUCAAAACUCCCGUGCUGAUCAGUAGUGGGAUCGUGCCUGUGAAUAGCCACUGUACUCCAGCCUGGGCAACAUAGCGAGACCCUGUCUCU